UGUGAUCCUCAGGAGAUUCAGCAUGCCUUUAACACAUGAAACAUUUAUUGUAAUAGCUUUUGAAAGCCUAUAUUUGCUGAUGUAGACAUUUCAUUAAGAGCCUGUCACAUUUUUAAAAUAAUAAUAUCCAUGAGCAACAGUCACCUGUCAAGAUCUACAAAAGGAAGACCCUGUACACCUCAUUUGUUUCAGGGAAAGAGAGACAUUGGGUGACAGCUAGAGCCUGGAAAGACAAGCAGAUAUGUGUCUGCUCAGAAGGAAGUCCAGGUGAGAUCAACAGGACUUCCUUUCAGAGAGGAACCAUCCAUGCCUCGUGGCAGAUCACGGGGGAACUGAUGGGAAUUUCAAAAGCAACUUGCUAAGCAUUUCACAGAAUCUUCUGUUGACCUCUCGGUUCAGAAUCGUUCCUACCACAGUAGCAGCUGUCCCUGCCGAAGAAAUCGUGGAUUCAGUUAAAUUCCCCCCAAGCAUCUCGAGGCCUUUAGGCAUGUGCUAUAAAUUUAAAAGUUCUAAUUAUAGCCGGGAGCAGCAGGAAUUACAGUCAUGAAAAGCAGGAACAAAUGGAAGAAUAGCUCAGCAACUGAAAGAGAUCGAUUUUGCCUUCCCCUCCCCUCUGGGCCAUCCUCUCUUGAGGAUCUCUGAGGGUACAUCUGCCACCCUGACAAAGCACACCCUCCCGCAGUCACCCAGCAGCUCAACUUAUAAACCUACCAAACCUGAGAAGGGACAGGUCUUUGAUACAGAGCCUCUAUUUGCCACAGUUAUCUGUCUUGUGAAAAAAGUAAACACAAGAGGACAUCAAGACACGCUGCAUAUUUCUGGUUAGAAUUAUUCACAGUCAAAACUUUAAGAAAGAAUAGGAAAGUUUUGUAAUUUAUUAAGGAGACCACUGUAAGCAGAUGAAAACAUUAGCAGGAUUCUAGUAACACUUGUUGUGCAACAAAUACCAUGGAAAAUAUGGAGAGAUAUAAAUAUGGAUGAUGAAAUAAUAUGCAGCUGAAAACGUUGACAAUAUGACCCAUGGAGGGGAU
Molecule: long non-coding RNA, 1031 nt
Organism: Podarcis muralis (Common wall lizard)
Lineage: Eukaryota; Metazoa; Chordata; Lepidosauria; Squamata; Lacertidae
Source: RefSeq, a predicted model, not a curated record